UUUAUUGGAACUGGAAUGAAAGGCUUAACAAAUAUUAAAUUUUUUAUUUUAAAAAAUUAAAAUUUCUAAUUUACGUAAGAAUGCGUGAGUAAAUUCAAGGGACGAUAAGACCCUAAAAGCUUUAUUUUUUAUAUUUUUAUAUUAUUUUAAGUUAAUUGUUUAUUGUAUUUUGACUGGGGCGGUUGUUUUUUGUAACGAAAAUUUUUUUUUACAAAUAGGCUUAAAGAUCCUUAAAAUUAGGAUAAUUUGUUUAAGUUACUUUAGGGAUAACAGCGUUAUAAUAAUGGGGAGACCUUAUUUAUAUUAUUGAUUGCGACCUCGAUGUUGAAUUAAGUUUUCUAUAUAAAGCAGAAAUUAUAUGUGAAAGUUUGUUCAACUUUUAAAAUCUUACAUGAUCUGAGUUCAAA
RNAcentral lists this ribosomal RNA (407 nucleotides) under Platorchestia pacifica. RNAcentral describes it as "partial 16S ribosomal RNA". The record is from RNAcentral. Lineage: Eukaryota; Metazoa; Arthropoda; Malacostraca; Amphipoda; Talitridae.